This 490-nucleotide ribosomal RNA is filed under the name uncultured bacterium. Its description in RNAcentral is "partial 16S ribosomal RNA". It matches the Rfam family "Bacterial small subunit ribosomal RNA", at positions 30 to 507 of the family's 1533-position model. The record is from RNAcentral.
AUUGAACGCUGGCGGCAGGCCUAACACAUGCAAGUCGAACGGUAACAGGAAGAAGCUUGCUUCUUUGCUGACGAGUGGCGGACGGGUGAGUAAUGUCUGGGAAACUGCCUGAUGGAGGGGGAUAACUACUGGAAACGGUAGCUAAUACCGCAUAACGUCGCAAGACCAAAGAGGGGGACCUUCGGGCCUCUUGCCAUCGGAUGUGCCCAGAUGGGAUUAGCUAGUAGGUGGGGUAACGGCUCACCUAGUCGACGAUCCCUAGCUGGUCUGAGAGGAUGACCAGCCACACUGGAACUAAGACACGGUCCAGACUCCUACGGGAGGCAGCAGUGGGGAAUAUUGCACAAUGGGCGCAAGCCUGAUGCAGCCAUGCCGCGUGUAUGAAGAAGGCCUUCGGGUUGUAAAGUACUUUCAGCGGGGAGGAAGGGAGUAAAGUUAAUACCUUUGCUCAUUGACGUUACCCGCAGAAGAAGCACCGGCUAACUCCGUG